Molecule: long non-coding RNA, 312 nt
Filed under: Salvia miltiorrhiza (redroot sage)
Lineage: Eukaryota; Viridiplantae; Streptophyta; Magnoliopsida; Lamiales; Lamiaceae
Description: long non-coding RNA (SMIL_LNC010854)
Source: RNAcentral
UGCUUCCCCGUGAUAACCAGGUUGUUAAUUGAGGACAAACGCCUACUAACAUGUUCUCUGACUGUAGGUACUGAUAAAAAGGCUGCAUUCUUGCACUUCUUACACGGGCACCUAAUGUUAUAUUCUCCAUCUGUGUACGCCGUUUGAUUUAUAGCAUACUCAAGGAAACUCUCAAGACCCGUUUCAAAUGCAGAACGAUCAUUGUAUCUCGCGUACAUCCACAUACGAUUAUCACUCAUUCUUGCAAAUUCUAAUUGAAAAAAAUAAAUAAAAGAUCAUAAAUUAUUUGAAUCAAACGAAAUUUCGACAGCA